RNAcentral lists this long non-coding RNA (395 nucleotides) under Trifolium pratense (red clover). RNAcentral describes it as "long non-coding RNA (TPRA_LNC009503)". The record is from RNAcentral. Lineage: Eukaryota; Viridiplantae; Streptophyta; Magnoliopsida; Fabales; Fabaceae.
UUGGUAUGUGUCACUAAGUCUAAGUGAAAGAAGAACACUCAGAAUCAAGUGGAAGACAGUAUGUUUGAAGAUGUGUUGAUCAAUGUAAGUAAAAGAAGACAAUGUCUGACUGCAUGUUAGAACAUUAUUCGAGACAUGUUUCCUGUAAGAUCAGCAAGGAAGUGAAAUGGACAGUGUGAUCAACCACGUGUCAGUAGGGAAUGCAUAAAAGGUCUGUGAAUACUUUGAAUCCAUCUGAAUCUAUUCUAUUUUGCUUGGUCAACAAAAUGUGCAUCAUCUAGGAAACCUAUUUCUAAAUCCAUUAUCCAGGUGAAUCUUAUCUCUCAAAAGGUCCUAGAAAAGUCUAUCUAUGUUUGUUGAUGAUGUUAAUAAACCUACCAAACUCGUUUUGAUAA